Molecule: non-coding RNA, 1913 nt
Organism: Phalacrocorax carbo (great cormorant)
Lineage: Eukaryota; Metazoa; Chordata; Aves; Suliformes; Phalacrocoracidae
Source: RefSeq, a predicted model, not a curated record
GUUACUUCUCCGGAGAGCGAUGUUAGCUUUUCCGCGCAUCGUCUCGCUUGUUUGCAUUUCCAGCCCAAGGUCACGGAAAGGAGGAGGAGGAGGAGGGAAAGGCACCCGGGAGCCGGGAGAUGCGCACGGGCCGGGCCCCGACGUGUGCGCGGCGGCUCCGGGGCCGGGGCCGGGCGGGCUAUGCCUGCCGCCGGGGCCGGUGGCAGCCGGCAGCCCCGGCUGGGGCCUGCCCCGAGCCCGAGCACACCUUUGGGGAACGGCCCCCAUCCCGCGGCCAGCCGUGACGCCGGGCUCCCCGCCGAGACCGGUCGCAUCCCGGCACCGCCAACAUGAGAGAGGCCGGAUAGACAGACAGACAGAGUCCCCGGUGCCCAGCGUUGGGGAGAAGCGGCAGAAAGCGAAAGGGGACGCCGAGAAGUGACAGCACAAGAAGCGGGGCGGCGAGGCUCCGCACUCUCAGCCCACCUCGGGGCUCUGCAGAUAACCGCAGGCGCACGAGUACAGGACACACACACACACACACAGAGCCCCCUCGCAGAUAGGCACCGAAUACGUCUCUCCUGCGAGAUAACGGGGAGAUAAGGCCGCGGCAGAUAAGGGCUCCAGGCACUGGCGUCGGAUGUUUGCCCACCGAGCCUCCCCCCGGCAGGCGCAGCCGCCGCCCCGCCGCUUGCCUCCGGGAGCGGCCGAGAGGCGGGAGCAGAAAAGCGGGGAAGAGAAAGGGAAAUCGCGGCGGUGAAGGGAGGAGAAGGGGGGAACUAUCCGAGGGGAAAAAAAUGCAGCUCCUCCUUGACUUGCCUCAACCGUCAGGUGAAGCCAAAGUAAGCUGUGGGAUGUGUCCACCCCAGCUGCAGGCGAGGUUAUCAGCUGGAUAUCUGUCAUCAUCAGUUUGUACAGAAAGUCAUCUGCGGCAAAGGGCUGGACUAAGAGCGGAGCCCGGCUCUAGGCAGCCGGCAGGCAGGAGCCCUCCCGACAGAAACCGAGCCCAAACCUGCUGAUGCGCGGUGCUGUCGCUCCUGGGGUUUGCUCUCGAACCGCUCAAACCCUGUAGCCUUCGCUUCCUAACUCUUCGUGACGUCACUCCCUCCCCAAACCCCACUCUUCUGACGUAACUUUGACCCCGGGAGCCGCUCGGGUACCUCCUGUCCCCGGGGCCGGGUCUCCGAGGUCUGCCUGGUUAAUGAUUUCAGCCUUUAAAAAUGAAAAAAAAAAAAAAGAAAGAAAAGAAAAAAUAGGAUUAAAACCAACAAAACGCGCGGAGGAGAGGCUCUCGCUGCCGCGUAACUUGACUCCCGAAGCCGGCGCCCGGCGGUACCCGCACGGGUCAGGCCAGAAGGACACCCCACCCCACCCCACCCCCCUCCGCGCCCCGCGGGCUCCCUGCCCGCUCCUGCCUGAGUGCCGGGGAAGGCUUUCAGGGAUCCUUUCUACUGGAUCGGACACGGAAAAACCGGGGGAAAGUUUCUCGGGUUUGUUGCUGCGGGAGCUCAUUGCGGGAGAGAGCUGGCAGCGGGGGGACGCGGGGCACGGCGGGGACGCGCUCCCCCCCCGCCACUUCGGAGCAAGGCUUCUCCUCAUCCUCCCCUCGGCCUUCAUCACCCAUGUCAGGCACUAUCAAUUGCAAUUAGCUAUCCUGCCUCCGCCCCUAUUCCCGCAGCGGAGGUUGCAGAGCCUUAAUUCUUUUUCAACUUUAAGAAAAAAAAACCCCAGCCCAACAACCCCGCACAAGCAAAGUCCCGCAUCACUAGGUACCCCUUGGGCCGGCUGCUGGUACUACCGCACACCGUUAAGAAAAUAUCGUUUUAUGCAUCCAAACCUGUCGGAAAAUGCGGCCCCUCACUUCCCCCCCAACAUCGUUGCUUUCUUAUUUUUUCUUCCCAGGAAAUAAAAUAAAACAUCAGAACUGGUCAAAA